AGAGUUUGAUCAUGGCUCAGAGUGAACGCUGGCGGCGUGCCUAAUACAUGCAAGUCGAACGGAGAUUAAAUAGCUUGCUAUUUAAUCUUAGUGGCGCACGGGUGAGUAAUAUAUAGCUAAUCUGCCCUACACUAGAGGACAACAGUUGGAAACGACUGCUAAUACUCUAUACUCCUUCUUUACAUAAGUUAAGUAGGGAAAGUUUUUCGGUGUAGGAUGAGGCUAUAUCGUAUCAGCUAGUUGGUAAGGUAAUGGCUUACCAAGGCUAUGACGCGUAACUGGUCUGAGAGGAUGAUCAGUCACACUGGAACUGAGACACGGUCCAGACUCCUACGGGAGGCAGCAGUAGGGAAUAUUGCUCAAUGGGGGAAACCCUGAAGCAGCAACGCCGCGUGGAGGAUGACACUUUUCGGAGCGUAAACUCCUUUUCUUAGGAAAGAAUUAUGACGGUACCUAAGGAAUAAGCACCAGCUAACUCCGUGCCAGCAGCCGCGGUAAUACGGGGGGUGCAAGCGUUACUCGGAAUCACUGGGCGUAAAGGACGCGUAGGCGGAUUAUCAAGUCUCUUGUGAAAUUUAACGGCUUAACCGUUAAACUGCUUGGGAAACUGAUAAUCUAGAGUAAGGGAGAGGCAGAUGGAAUUCUUGGUGUAGGGGUAAAAUCCGUAGAGAUCAAGAAGAAUACUUAUUGCGAAGGCGAUCUGCUAGAACUUAACUGACGCUAAUGCGUGAAAGCGUGGGGAGCAAACAGGAUUAGAUACCCUGGUAGUCCACGCCCUAAACGAUGUAUACUGGUUGUUGCUGUGCUAGUCAUGGCAGUAAUCCACCUAACGGAUUAAGUAUACCGCCUGGGGAGUACGGUCGCAAGAUUAAAACUCAAAGGAAUAGACGGGGACCCGCACAAGCGGUGGAGCAUGUGGUUUAAUUCGAAGAUACGCGAAGAACCUUACCCGGACUUGAUAUCUAACAAAUCAUCUAGAGAUAGAAGAGUGUCUGCUUGCAGAAAUGUUAAGACAGGUGCUGCACGGCUGUCGUCAGCUCGUGUCGUGAGAUGUUGGGUUAAGUCCCGCAACGAGCGCAACCCACGUCAUUAGUUGCUAACAGCUCGGCUGAGCACUCUAAUGAGACUGCCUUCGCAAGGAGGAGGAAGGUGUGGACGACGUCAAGUCAUCAUGGCCCUUAUGUCCGGGGCGACACACGUGCUACAAUGGCAUAUACAAUGAGAUGCAAUAUCGCGAGAUGGAGCAAAUCUAUAAAAUAUGUCCCAGUUCGGAUUGGAGUCUGCAACUCGACUCCAUGAAGCCGGAAUCGCUAGUAAUCGUAGAUCAGCCAUGCUACGGUGAAUACGUUCCCGGGUCUUGUACUCACCGCCCGUCACACCAUGGGAGUUGAUUUCACUCGAAGUCGGAAUGCUAAACUAGCUACCGCCCACAGUGGAAUCAGCGACUGGGGUGAAGUCGUAACAAGGUAGCCGU
RNAcentral lists this ribosomal RNA (1474 nucleotides) under uncultured Campylobacter sp. RNAcentral describes it as "bacterial SSU rRNA". It matches the Rfam family "Bacterial small subunit ribosomal RNA". Lineage: Bacteria; Pseudomonadati; Campylobacterota; Epsilonproteobacteria; Campylobacterales; Campylobacteraceae. The record is from RNAcentral.